CAUUAAAUGGCUGAAAGCAAGCAAUGAUCUCUUAAAUCAUAAUAUAAUAUAUUAGCACAUAUUUUUAAUGA
This 71-nucleotide transfer RNA is filed under the name Monocellicampa pruni. RNAcentral describes it as "tRNA-Lys". The record is from RNAcentral. Lineage: Eukaryota; Metazoa; Arthropoda; Insecta; Hymenoptera; Tenthredinidae.